UACAGAGGCCUCGAGCGUUAGGCGGAAUCACUGGGCUUAAAGCGUGUGUAGGCGGACUUCUAAGUACCUUGUGAAAUCCCACAGCUUAACUGUGGAACUGCUUGGUAUACUGGUUGUCUUGAGGUACCUAGGGGCGAGCGGAACAAGUGGUGGAGCGGUGAAAUGCGUAGAUAUCAGGAGGAACACCGGUGGCGAAGGCGGAUCUCUGGGCCUUACCUGACGCUCAGGUGCGAAAGCUAGGGGAGCGAACAGG
Molecule: ribosomal RNA, 253 nt
Filed under: uncultured bacterium
Lineage: Bacteria
Description: partial 16S ribosomal RNA
Rfam family: Bacterial small subunit ribosomal RNA
Source: RNAcentral